This 748-nucleotide long non-coding RNA is filed under the name Brassica napus (rape). Its description in RNAcentral is "long non-coding RNA (BNAP_LNC005329)". The record is from RNAcentral. Lineage: Eukaryota; Viridiplantae; Streptophyta; Magnoliopsida; Brassicales; Brassicaceae.
CGGAGCAGACGAUGGAGCUUCUUCAAAAGUCAGGCCAAAGUCAGAGAGUCCCAGAAAGAGAGAGCGUCGCGAUUCUAGGCUUUCUUCCCCAUCGUUCGAUCUCAGACUUCUCUCUCUCUCUCUCUCUCUCUCUCGGUAAUCUACGUUUCGGAAUUACCGGAGAUUUCUAUCAAAAACUCUUUUUCUAAUCUUUUCUUGCCGAAUUUGCCGGUGAAUCAUUGCCGUGUUUUAACGGACUCGGAGGCUUGCUUGAUCGUCCUCCUUCCUUGUUUCAUCAUUUUGUUGAAUUCGCUUUUCUAUUUUUAGGCGAUCUGGAGAAGCGUUUAUGACUUUCUAUUAACGAAAAAUCCGCUAGAUUUAUUUAAAUAAUAAUUAAUACUAAAGAGAUCUCCUUUCUGUGGAAUUUUCAUUGAAAUUGGAGAAUUGACUAGAAAAAAAAAAAAUCUGAUUUUUAUUUUUGUGAUGGUCACAUCGUAAGCAGUAGUAUUAAUGGAUUGGAGAUUUUCUCAUUUGGUUUUAUGAAUCAGUGUUUGUUUGUUUGUUUGUGUUUGGUCAGUGUCAUCAUUAUGUUGACAUUAUGAUUUGUUUUAUUAAUGAAACAAGAGGAUGAUUAAAAAGGGUAACUAUUUAUUGUUGACAGGUCGGAGAAGAUAAAAGGCACCAUUCAUUAUUGAUCUAUGGCUGGAUGAUAAGAGUUUUUUCUCCGGAGGUUCGGAGUUUUUUUUCUUUCUAAAAGAUGGCAGUCUCU